CACAUGCAAGUCGAGGGGCAGCAUGGUCUUAGCUUGCUAAGGCCGAUGGCGACCGGCGCACGGGUGAGUAACACGUAUCCAACCUGCCGUCUACUCUUGGACAGCCUUCUGAAAGGAAGAUUAAUACAAGAUGGCAUCAUGAGUCCGCAUGUUCACAUGAUUAAAGGUAUUCCGGUGGACGAUGGGGAUGCGUUCCAUUAGAUAGUAGGCGGGGUAACGGCCCACCUAGUCUUCGAUGGAUAGGGGUUCUGAGAGGAAGGUCCCCCACAUUGGAACUGAGACACGGUCCAAACUCCUACGGGAGGCAGCAGUGAGGAAUAUUGGUCAAUGGGCGAGAGCCUGAACCAGCCAAGUAGCGUGAAGGAUGACUGCCCUAUGGGUUGUAAACUUCUUUUAUAAAGGAAUAAAGUCGGGUAUGUAUACCCGUUUGCAUGUACUUUAUGAAUAAGGAUCGGCUAACUCCGUGCCAGCAGCCGCGGUAAUACGGAGGAUCCGAGCGUUAUCCGGAUUUAUUGGGUUUAAAGGGAGCGUAGAUGGAUGUUUAAGUCAGUUGUGAAAGUUUGCGGCUCAACCGUAAAAUUGCAGUUGAUACUGGAUAUCUUGAGUGCAGUUGAGGCAGGCGGAAUUCGUGGUGUAGCGGUGAAAUGCUUAGAUAUCACGAAGAACUCCGAUUGCGAAGGCAGCCUGCUAAGCUGCAACUGACAUUGAGGCUCGAAAGUGUGGGUAUCAAACAGGAUUAGAUACCCUGGUAGUCCACACGGUAAACGAUGAAUACUCGCUGUUUGCGAUAUACUGCAAGCGGCCAAGCGAAAGCGUUAAGUAUUCCACCUGGGGAGUACGCCGGCAACGGUGAAACUCAAAGGAAUUGACGGGGGCCCGCACAAGCGGA
RNAcentral lists this ribosomal RNA (889 nucleotides) under uncultured bacterium. Its description in RNAcentral is "bacterial SSU rRNA". It matches the Rfam family "Bacterial small subunit ribosomal RNA", at positions 52 to 933 of the family's 1533-position model. The record is from RNAcentral.